UCAUAGUCAUUAGGUACAUGCAAAUUAAAA
Molecule: non-coding RNA, 30 nt
Filed under: Rattus norvegicus (Norway rat)
Lineage: Eukaryota; Metazoa; Chordata; Mammalia; Rodentia; Muridae
Source: RNAcentral